UAAUGAAACACAAGCAUUAAAACAUAAAGUUAAAACAAACAAUCCAUCAUAGUUCCGCACACCAAAAAGUUAUAACAACCCAUCAUAGCUAACCAUCUUCAUGCCUUGGAUAAGUGAGAUAUCUUCAAGAGUUCCAAACCCUACAAAAACAAUGAUGCAUAUAUGUGAAAAUCCAAUCAUAAAAAAAAUAUUUGAGUUGUACUAACAAAAUAAAUGCUAACAAAAUAAUAUUUGGCAGUUGAAUUUUAAAUGAUAACAGAACAGAAAUAUCAGAUCAUGGUAGCUACUAUUGAUCUUGUGAUAUAUAUAUAUAGACUAUAGUUGGACCCAACUUCAAAAAUUUAAAAAUAAGGGUGGUGAGACUUGAGAGUCAGUAUUAUUGAUUUAAUAAGGGUGGUGAGACUUGAGAAUCUUCUACAAGAACCAAACCUACAAUGAGAGCACACAGGUCAAGAUGAGAAAACACAAUGUAAGCAUGACUGUUCUACAAUAUAGAGCUAUACAUGCAUCGCACUAAAAAAAAAAGAAUGCAUCACUGUUUGAUAGAAACGGUAGUACAAUCAGUCAAACUAUUGUACUGCAAUAACGCAAGUAAAAAUAAUAAAAUAUGAUUCCAAGUAAAAGUCUAAGCUUUUUAGAAGUGUUCGAAAAUUAUUUCAUCUAAUCAACACUUCAACAGAAAGAAAUAAAAAGGCUCAUAAGAACAUUUAAUUCCACAGAAAGUAUUAACUGAGCAAAUGGACCUGGAAUGCACUAAAGGGAUAUUGGGGUAGCAAGCACCACAAUAGGCUCAUAAAUUGGAGAUGACCAAGAGCAUAAGUGACUCCUUCGCCUCUGGGUUUCCAAACUGAGGGUUUAUUCAUCCAUGUAAACUUCUAAAUCCAAAUAAGGUUCUUGACAGUGAUAGAAAUGUUCAACCACAUAACAUUAACUCUUUUAAUUAAAAUCCAACAUACUAGGAAUUUAUUUAUAUACCAGGAACCAUUCACCCAUUGUCUUGUUGUAUUCAAACCUAUCAAAAUAAGUUUACAGGAUCUGAAAAAAUGCAUAAACUCACUUCAAGUUAAGCAAACGAGUUUUCCAAAAAGCUGAAUUCCAAUUAUUUCACAGAACCUACAUACUGUACAAAAACAACAAAAACUCAAUGAUCCCAAAAGACGUAUGUCGUCCAGUUAAUGAUCUGCUAAAUUUAAAACCCGAAAAUCCUCAAAGGAUCAAGUCUAUCUAUACUCAGUUUACACUAAAAAGAAAUAAGAGGUUAAGAACAAGUCAGGUUCAUUCUUAAACUAAAAUAAGUGUUAUGAUAAGAACCCUAAUACUAAUAGUAACAGGCCAUGUGAGUGUAUAUAUAAUUAGGGUCCACUCUAACUGUCUAACAUAUCUUUCUUUUUCUAUAUCUAAUCUAACAAAUAAUCAUUCAUCUGUUACAGAAAAAGAUAAUGAGAAUAUAUCUACUGAAGGAAUAUAUAUGUAAGACGUUAAUCAUGUAGCCAGCAGGGUAGUUGUGGGUCUUAAAGCUAAUUACAUUUUAAACAAAAUUACUAGCCAGCAGGUUAUAUGCAGGCAGAUGCCCAUGCCAUCACCAUUCACCACUACUAGCUAGAUUGAUCUGCUAAAUUAGAAGGCAGAGUCGUAUGGAAAAAAAAAAAAAAAAUUCUAUAAAAGCCAAUGUGAUCUUACCAAGAUUCAUAUGCCAUAUCCAUUUGGUUGAAAGUGUAGAAAAGUGUAGUUCAAUUAUAAUUUGAUACAUAACAGUGACUACAUAAAAUUCAAUUUCAACCAAAAUUCAAAUCCCAUAAAAGGUAGAAAUCUAGGGUUUUGUUUAUUUUUGUUUAGAAUGAAAUCAAAUCCAAACUAAGGUUUAUAGAAAAGAAGAUUCAAAAUUAGUUUGAAGUUCAAGAUUACCUGUUGUUUGUUGUAUGAGAUCUGAGAUUAAAAGUUGAAGAAGUUUGUUUGUUGAAUGAGAUCUGAGAUUAAUGGAAGAGAGAAGAGAGAAGAGAGAAGAUGCUGCAUUGCUGCUUGCUCUAAUGCUCUAUUGUGUUGGACGGACCACAGACAUAUAUUUUUAAGCC
This 2072-nucleotide long non-coding RNA is filed under the name Aquilegia coerulea. Its description in RNAcentral is "long non-coding RNA (ACOE_LNC002301)". Lineage: Eukaryota; Viridiplantae; Streptophyta; Magnoliopsida; Ranunculales; Ranunculaceae. The record is from RNAcentral.